AUUGAACGCUGGCGGCAGGCCUAACACAUGCAAGUCGAACGAGUGGCGGACGGGUGAGUAAUGUCUGGGAAACUGCCCGAUGGAGGGGGAUAACUACUGGAAACGGUAGCUAAUACCGCAUACCAUCGGAUGUGCCCAGAUGGGAUGAGCUAGUCGGUGGGGUAACGGCUCACCUAGGCGACGCUCCCUAGCUGGGCUGAGAGGAUGACCAGCCACACUGGAACUGAGACACGGUCCAGACUCCUACGGGAGGCAGCAGUGGGGAAUAUUGCACAAUGGGCGCAAGGCUGAUGCAGCCAUGGCGCGUGUAUGAAGAAGGCCUUCGGGGUGUAAAGUACGUUCAGCGAGGAGGCGUUAAUCGCAGAAGAAGCACCGGCUAACUCCGUGCCAGCAGCCGCGGUAAUUC
Molecule: ribosomal RNA, 406 nt
Filed under: uncultured bacterium
Lineage: Bacteria
Description: partial 16S ribosomal RNA
Rfam family: Bacterial small subunit ribosomal RNA
Source: RNAcentral